This 497-nucleotide ribosomal RNA is filed under the name uncultured bacterium. RNAcentral describes it as "partial 16S ribosomal RNA". It matches the Rfam family "Bacterial small subunit ribosomal RNA", at positions 28 to 507 of the family's 1533-position model. The record is from RNAcentral.
GAUGAACGCUGGCGGCGUGCCUAAUACAUGCAAGUCGAGCGAACAGACGAGGCGCUUGCUCCUCUGACGUUAGCGGCGGACGGGUGAGUAACGCGUGGAUAACCUACCUAUCAGACUGGGAUAACUUCGGGACACCGGCGCUAAUACCGGAUAAUAUCUUGAACCGCAUGGUUCAAUAGUGAAAGACGGUUUUGCUGUCACUUAUAGAUGGAUCCGCGCCGCAUUAGCUAGUUGGUAAGGUAACGGCUUACCAAGGCAACGAUGGGUAGCCGACCUGAGAGGGUGAUCGGCGACACUGGAACUGAGACACGGUCCAGACUCCUACGGGAGGCAGCAGUAGGGAAUCUUCCGCAAUGGGCGAAAGCCUGACGGAGCAACGCCGAGUGAGUGAUGAAGGUCUUCGGAUCGUAAAACUCUGUUAUGAGGGAAGAACAAAUGUGUAAGUAACUAUGCACGUCUUGACGGUACCUAAUCAGAAAGCCACGGCUAACUACGUG